GACGAACGCUGGCGGCGUGCUUAACACAUGCCAGUCGAACGGAAAGGCCCUGCUUUUGUGGGGUGCUCGAGUGGCGAACGGGUGAGUAACACGUGAGUAACCUGCCCUUGACUUUGGGAUAACUUCAGGAAACUGGGGCUAAUACCGGAUAGGAGCUCCUGCUGCAUGGUGGGGGUUGGUAAGUUUCGGCGGUUGGGGAUGGACUCGCGGCUUAUCAGCUUGUUGGUGGGGUAGUGGCUUACCAAGGCUUUGACGGGUAGCCGGCCUGGGAGGGUGGCCGGCCACAUUGGGACUGAGAUACGGACCAGACUCCUACGGGAGGCAGCAGUGGGGAAUAUUGCACAAUGGGCGGAAGCCUGAUGCAGCAACGCCGCGUGCGGGAUGACGGCCUUCGGGUUGUAAACCGCUUUCGCCUGUGACGAAGCGUGAGUGACGGUAAUGGGUAAAGAAGCACCGGCUAACUACGUG
This 468-nucleotide ribosomal RNA is filed under the name uncultured bacterium. Its description in RNAcentral is "partial 16S ribosomal RNA". It matches the Rfam family "Bacterial small subunit ribosomal RNA", at positions 28 to 507 of the family's 1533-position model. The record is from RNAcentral.